AACGGUAACAGGAAGAAGCUUGCUUCUUUGCUGACGAGUGGCGGACGGGUGAGUAAUGUCUGGGAAACUGCCUGAUGGAGGGGGAUAACUACUGGAAACGGUAGCUAAUACCGCAUAACGUCGCAAGACCAAAGAGGGGGACCUUCGGGCCUCUUGCCAUCGGAUGUGCCCAGAUGGGAUUAGCUAGUAGGUGGGGUAACGGCUCACCUAGGCGACGAUCCCUAGCUGGUCUGAGAGGAUGACCAGCCACACUGGAACUGAGACACGGUCCAGACUCCUACGGGAGGCAGCAGUGGGGAAUAUUGCACAAUGGGCGCAAGCCUGAYGCAGCCAUGCCGCGUGUAUGAAGAAGGCCUUCGGGUUGUAAAGUACUUUCAGCGGGGAGGAAGGGAGUAAAGUUAAUACCUUGCUCAUGACGUUACCCGCAGAAGAAGCA
RNAcentral lists this ribosomal RNA (436 nucleotides) under uncultured Proteus sp. Its description in RNAcentral is "bacterial SSU rRNA". It matches the Rfam family "Bacterial small subunit ribosomal RNA", at positions 65 to 492 of the family's 1533-position model. The record is from RNAcentral. Lineage: Bacteria; Pseudomonadati; Pseudomonadota; Gammaproteobacteria; Enterobacterales; Morganellaceae.